UUCCCAGUUUUUCUUUUCACUGCUUUUGGUCAUCUGCUUCUUUCUUUCUAUGUUUUUAAUACUCUUGUAGCUUAUUAUCCCGCAUUAAUUAUGAUUUUGACAGAAUGGCGUGACUGACUAGCAUUGUGGAGCUUAUUGCAUUCAAGCAAACAUCAUUAUCAUAUGGCGUUGAGUCUUCAGGGGAUGGAUCAAGUAUUUAUCCUUGAUUAUAAGAAUGAAUUUAGGGAGAUUCUUAGAGAAGCAUGGGGUGUCAGGCUUGUGACAGAUCUUAACAUUGUUUUCAGUGGUCAAGAUGUCAUGCUCGAUCUGGAAAAUCUUGGUUUGUUCUCGAGGAUGAUGUAAGGUGGAAACAUUGCAAAUAUGAAUUUGCCAGAGAGAGAUCGUUGGCUGUACAUCAACAUCUGCCAAAGGUCAAUGGGAUCAUCAAAACCCUCAAGGAAGAGGUUUCUUGGAAGAAGACGGGAAUCAUCCCAGUGAAGAAGGUUUUUUUUCCUCAACAAUCAUCAUCAAUUCCUCUUGCAAAGGAGUCACUCUCAUAAUUUCUUUUGGUACCCUUUUGAGUUCAUUAUGUUUGCCAUUUGCCAGUGUUUCUACGGAGCGAGGACCAAGCUGUUAUCUAGGGGCAUAAUUGUAAGUUAGCUAUAUUAAAUAUUAUUAAAAAAAACUUGU
Long non-coding RNA from Populus nigra (black poplar), 669 nucleotides. RefSeq lists it as uncharacterized. Lineage: Eukaryota; Viridiplantae; Streptophyta; Magnoliopsida; Malpighiales; Salicaceae. The record is from RefSeq and is a predicted model, not a curated record. The transcript has 2 exons.